GGGCUACUGCAGUGUAGGCUUUGCCUGCUAUCUCUUACCCAUGUCUUUUAAGUACCUUACGUUUCCUCGGCGGGUCCGCCCGCCGAUUGGACAAUUUAAACCAUUUGCAGUUGCAAUCAGCGUCUGAAAAAACUUAAUAGUUACAACUUUCAACAACGGAUCUCUUGGUUCUGGCAUCGAUGAAGAACGCAGCGAAAUGCGAUAAGUAGUGUGAAUUGCAGAAUUCAGUGAAUCAUCGAAUCUUUGAACGCACAUUGCGCCCCUUGGUAUUCCAUGGGGCAUGCCUGUUCGAGCGUCAUUUGUACCUUCAAGCUCUGCUUGGUGUUGGGUGUUUGUCUCGCCUCUGCGUGUAGACUCGCCUCAAAACAAUUGGCAGCCGGCGUAUUGAUUUCGGAGCGCAGUACAUCUCGCGCUUUGCACUCAUAACGACGACGUCCAAAAGUACAUUUUUACACUCUUGACCUCGGAUCAGGUAGGGAUACCCGCUGAACUUAAGCAUAUCAAUAGGCGGAGGAAGA
This 518-nucleotide ribosomal RNA is filed under the name Didymella glomerata. RNAcentral describes it as "eukaryotic LSU rRNA". The stretch from base 145 to 298 matches the Rfam family "5.8S ribosomal RNA". The record is from RNAcentral. Lineage: Eukaryota; Fungi; Ascomycota; Dothideomycetes; Pleosporales; Didymellaceae.